Molecule: non-coding RNA, 3879 nt
Organism: Durio zibethinus
Lineage: Eukaryota; Viridiplantae; Streptophyta; Magnoliopsida; Malvales; Malvaceae
Source: RefSeq, a predicted model, not a curated record
UCAUUCCUCAUUCCUUUACCGUCCGAUCAUCAACAGCUCUUCUAAGCCAUCUAUGAAAUCCCUAGCCACCAUAUAAACCCAAAUUCAACAUCCGUUCCCAACAUAUUCCAUUUUUUGAUUUCGUUCACAAAAAUUCCAUUUAGUAAUUCCUCUCUCCAUUUCACCGAUUCAAAUCAAAUUCAUCGAUCAUGAGAUUCAAGAAAGGCAGCAAAGUUGAGGUAUUGACCAAGAAGGAGGUUCCAACCGGCGCUUGGCGCUGCGCGGAGAUUAUCUCUGGCAACGGUCAUACGUACAGCGUGAAGUACGGUUGGUUUCCGAUCACUGGCGACGCGGCGGCGGUGGAAAGAGUCCCUAGGAAAGCGAUUAGGCCUUGCCCUCCUCCUAUAAACGGGACCGAUAAUUGGGUUUCUGGUGAUGUCGUAGAGGUCUUCGACGAAUUGUGUUGGAAGCCGGCGGUGAUUGUUAGGGUUUUCGGUGGAAACAACUUUUCGGUUCGGAUUCUUGGAUCGAAUAGCGAACUCAAAGCACAUCAAUCUCGAUUGCGUGUUCGACAAUCUUGGGAAGAUGGCAAUUGGUUCCUUGUUGGAAAGGGAUUGUCAAAUUCCACAGGACGGCCGAAAAGGAAAAGAUCUUCGAUUGGCUUCUCGGAUGCUCGUGGGCAGAAGAAGAGGGUGAUUGAGAAAGGUAGUAUUGGUGUUCAAAGAAUAAUAAUUCGGCUUCCUACGCCUGCCUCUGAAAAGGUAGAUGCAUUUGUUUCCCCAAAUAAUAUACUGGGUGAAAGAUGUAUGCCUUCUUCCUUUCAUAGAGUUGAUGAUACCAUGAGUUGCGCAUCAUCUGUUGGUAGUUGUAGUGGUUUAGGGAAUAAUGGUCUUUACUUGUCUCCUAGUUCUGUAACAAACGGUUGUGAAAACUUAGAGGAUUAUUGUAGUGAUGCUGAUUCGUAUUCUAAAAGGAGAUGCGGAGAAGAAGGAAGUUCCAUUUCCACUAGUGUGGAAUUGGGAACUGAUUUCCAUAGGUCGGAGCUACAUGCCUAUCAACAAGCUCUUGGUGCAUUUUAUGCUUCUGGGCCUUUGACUUGGGAAGAAGAAGAAAAGAAUAUCUCAUGGCCAAUGUUGGAGGCAUCCAUACCUUGCUUCUAAAGCCAUUAUGGGUUGAGUUUGUCAUCUCUUGCAGUUGACCAGGGAGCAACAUCCAUGGUUUAUUGCUAAAGGAGCUCUUAAGCCCUGUUGUUGGUAUGAAUCAUUUCUAAAAAUAUUUUUCAAAAUUUGAUUUAUUUAUGGCAAUGCUGGUAUAGGUCAUUGUAUUCCUUGUUGCAUAUAAAACAAGACAAUCUUAAAAGCCGCCCUACAGUUAGUAUGUAAAUUGAUACGUUGCAGUUGAACUUACGGAAAGACAAUUCUUUUUUUUUUUUUUUUUAAAGGAUACAUGAGAAUUUAAGUUAUAAUAUAAUAGUUGGAAACGGUUUUUAUCUCUAGAAUGUACAUAUCCAAUAAUGGAACAAUAUGGGUAGGACGAUUAAUAAACCUCUCUCUCUCUCUCUUGUGCAAAAACUUGUAAUUUAAAUGCUUGAGUAUUGACAAGAACAUGUUACCAUCUUUUAACUGUAAAAAUUCAAAUUUGGCCGUUUGGGGGCUACAUUCUUACUGUCUCUCGGUAUAAACAAGUUCAUACAUUAUGAUGAUUGAUGAUAUUGUUCAAGUUAAAUAUGCAUGGUUACAUGCUAUGAUGAAAUGGUGUUCUAACUUCAUAGGUGGUUGCUUGAUUUGUUAGAUGGGUACUUGUAAGUUCCUUCAAAACUCCAAGUUCGAAAAUCUUCUCUUGUCCUUGAGAGUAAUGUGCUUGGAUGCAAAUCCAUGCUGCGGGUAGCAUGAACUUUUCCUCUAAUCAUGUACACUUGGUGAUGCACUGAAAGACUUCUUGAGGAGAAAUGUCUGUUUACAUAUUCAUAUGUCAGGUUCCUAUUCAUUGUUAUUGAAUGCAGCCAUCAACUGAAAUAGAUGCUUCAGUUUAUACCUUUUAAUACCAGGUAGGUCGUUCCAAUUGGUAAGUCUUGUCUGCUAUUUGUUGUUCACUCGUUUUAUGCUACUUAUGGCAUUUUUGUUGAGACUAGUGGGAGGUGGUUUAGGAUUUUACAUCAUUUUACUAUUUGAUAGGGCUGUGCCAAAAUAUCAAGAAAACAGGCACUGAGCUGUUUAGUUUUUGAUAGUCAUUAUGUUUUCAUUACCUGAUGUAAUUGGAACCGAAGAAAUUGGUCUGCUUAUUUUUCUCCAUUAGACACGGAAAAAAUCCAAUUCAUUGUUAGCACAAAAAGAUCCUAAAAGAAAUGCCAAAAUUUGGAAUUGUUUAGUGGACCAAGCCCAAGCACAUUGCUGUGCAAAUAAAAGGCCAGGUUCAAAUGAAUUCAUUGUUUAAACUGAGUCCAAUGUGAAAUGCCACCUGCCCUUCCUGUCUUUCAGCAUUCUCCUCCCCCACAAAGUCGUUACAAACCUCUUAGCUCGGAUCUCAGUGGGUUACUCACCCUCAGACUGUCAUGCCUCAUCGUCAUUCUCUUCCCCAUGUGCCAUGACUUCCUCUUCCAGCCUGCUUCCUUCUUCAAGUUAAGUUAUUAACUUUACUUUUUUAAAGCUUUUUGGAAUUUGUAACAUGUUUUAAUUGAACAGUUUGGAAUUUCUUCAUUUAUUUUACAAGAGAAGUAAUUGUUUCCUUUCUGUUUUAAAUUUUUAGUUCUUGUGUCAAACAUGCAGUUUAUAAAUUUUAACCAAAGGUAUAUUAUGAUGCUUGUUUGGAUUUGAUUAGGGAAACAGUUUUUAUACGUAAUGCUUGACAGGCAGCUAAACUUUAGUGUGAUUUUAUUAAAACACUUGAUUAUUUUGUGGAAAACAUACAAGAAGUGAUGACUAGAUUUUUUUUUGUCUGAUUGUAGCUACUAGGCUUCCAAAGCUUUUUCUCUCUUUUGUAGUUUUUGAAAUUAUUGCCACUGCUUGCUCAAAAUAUUAGAUUGAAAAAGCUGAAUUUGUGGAUUUGGUUAACUAUAUUCUUUUAUGCUAUGUUUGGAAAGAUGAAUUUGAGAGAGUGGCUUGGAUUUGAUUUGCUAUACAGACUGUGAGAAUGAAAUUUACAUGCUAUGCACAAAUUAGUUAAGAUUCAGUAUGCCUAUACAUUUGAACAUGUAUAACAAGAUAAUUUCAGAUUCACAAAUAUAUAUAGUUAUUUCAAAUUCACUACCAAAUAGCAAUCCAUCAAAUUUAUGAAUUUGGAAAUAAUCAUGAAGGUCUGGCCCUAUUUGUAUGUUCUUUAUCAUAUAAUUUAUCCUAAAUAUAAAUAUAAAUUCUUUCUUUUAUAUGAUAAAGACCAAGUGCUUCACCCUUCAUUUUAUUGAUUAUGAAUGAAACAUGAAGCUUUUUUUUUCUUUUUUCAUUACAAGUCAUUUUUCCUUUUUUUAUUAAUCUUUUCAGCAAGUUGAUUUGAAGAAUUUCACGAGUAACAACCAUUUCACUGGAUAUGAAAUUUAGUUUUGCAUUUAUUGUUUUAAUUUCAUAUCAUGGAAUGUGGAUUUGCAGUUGUAUGUUUUCAUUUAGUUGUGUUAAAUUGAAACUGCCAACCCAGAGUUUAACUUAAAAAAAAAUUGCCUUGUGGUAUGCUGAUAUGGUUUGGUUCAUGUGGAGCCUAUUUGGUGACUUGAUGUCAUUGUUAUUAUUAUUUUGGCCAGCUAGGCGAUGUCAUUGUAAGUUUGUUACUUUGUUAGAGCUUGUUGUUUCCUUGUUUGGAUAAUUUUUAAGUUGUGAUGUUUGUUUUUGGAAAGCUUAGAAAUUUUAGUGGUUGUCAAUUAAGUUGUGGUUGUUUUUUCUUUUUCAAGUAAUUCAUUCACACCAAAAAAAA